RNAcentral lists this long non-coding RNA (786 nucleotides) under Vulpes vulpes (red fox). RNAcentral describes it as "lncRNA (ENSVVUG00000004571.1)". Lineage: Eukaryota; Metazoa; Chordata; Mammalia; Carnivora; Canidae. The record is from RNAcentral.
CACUCAAGGUUGGCCUUGAAGAACACUUAUGAGAGAAAGUAUUCCUAAUGGAAUUCCUAAUUUAAAAAAAAUUUUUUUUAAUUUAUUUAUGAUAGUCACACAGAGAGAGAGAGAGAGAGGCAGAGACACAGGCAGAGGGAGAAGCAGGCUCCAUGCACUGGGAGCCCGACAUGGGAUUCGAUCCCAGGUCUCCAGGAUCGCGCCCCGGGCCAAAGGCAGGCGCCAAACCGCUGCGCCACCCAGGGAUCCCCCGGAAUUCCUAAUUUGAAAAUGAAUCUCUUCUAUGGCCUGAGAAGGGCUCCAGGACGNCGCGCCCCGGGCCAAAGGCAGGCACCAAACCGCUGCGCCACCCAGGGAUCCCCCAGAAUUCCUAAUUUGAAAAUGAAUCUCUUCUAUGGCCUGAGAAGGGCUUCAGGACCAGAUGUUCAUACCCUUCAUGCCCAAGGACCUGGAUCACCAUUCCAGAAAUCAAGGCCAGCAGAAGAGCUGGAUGAGGCCACAGACACAAAGGAAGUAUCAUGUUCUAGGAACUAUUGCAAGGACCACUCUACGGGAGUUUAGCUGCCUCCCAUGAAUUUGCAAGAGGAAAAGUGCUCUCCAGGUUUGUGAUGAGGGAGGGAAGGGAAAGAGCAAAGGAAUAUACAUAAUGUCAGGACUUCAAGGAAGACAAACAAAAAUAGCCAAGAAGUAAAACCGAUGAGAGUGAUCGAGAUGGUAAAUGAAGAACCAGAUAUACACUGCUCUAGAAGUCAAAUGUAGAGACUGAAGAAGGGAGGUCAGAGAAGC